This 385-nucleotide ribosomal RNA is filed under the name uncultured bacterium. Its description in RNAcentral is "bacterial SSU rRNA". It matches the Rfam family "Bacterial small subunit ribosomal RNA", at positions 28 to 416 of the family's 1533-position model. The record is from RNAcentral.
GACGAACGCUGGCGGCGUGCUUAACACAUGCAAGUCGAGCGGUAAGGCCUCUUCGGGGGUACACGAGCGGCGAACGGGUGAGUAACACGUGAGCAACCUACCCUUCACUUCGGGAUAAGCCUCGGAAACGGGGUCUAAUACCGGAUAUCACUCCUUACUUCAUGGUUUGGGGUUGAAAGUUCUGGCGGUGGGGGAUGGGCUCGCGGCCUAUCAGCUUGUUGGUGGGGUAAUGGCCUACCAAGGCGUCGACGGGUAGCCGGCCUGAGAGGGCGACCGGCCACACUGGGACUGAGACACGGCCCAGACUCCUACGGGAGGCAGCAGUGGGAAUAUUGCGCAAUGGACGGAAGUCUGACGCAGCAACGCCGCGUGAGGGAUGACGGCC